GACGAACGCUGGCGGCGUGCUUAACACAUGCAAGUCGAACGAGGCCCAUUCUUCGGGGUGGGUUCUAGUGGUGAAACGGGUGAGUAACACGUGGGCAACCUGCCCCCGGCUCUGGGAUAACGUCCAAGAAAUUGGGGCUAAUACCGGAUAUGACCGCUGACCGCAUGGUCUGGUGGUGGAAAGUUUUUCGGCGUGGGGAUGGGCCCGCGGCCUAUCGAGCUUGUUGGUGGGGUAGUGGCCUACCAAGGCGACGACGGGUAGCCGGCCUGAGAGGGUGA
This 278-nucleotide ribosomal RNA is filed under the name uncultured bacterium. RNAcentral's name for it is "partial 16S ribosomal RNA". It matches the Rfam family "Bacterial small subunit ribosomal RNA", at positions 28 to 303 of the family's 1533-position model. The record is from RNAcentral.